GGGCCAGUGGCGCAAUGGAUAACGCGUCUGACUACGAUUUAGGUUCGACUCCUACCUGGCUCG
RNAcentral lists this transfer RNA (63 nucleotides) under Pelobates cultripes (western spadefoot toad). RNAcentral describes it as "tRNA.Undet". It matches the Rfam family "tRNA". From Rfam's summary of the family: Transfer RNA (tRNA) molecules are approximately 80 nucleotides in length. Lineage: Eukaryota; Metazoa; Chordata; Amphibia; Anura; Pelobatidae. The record is from RNAcentral.